Molecule: long non-coding RNA, 1032 nt
Organism: Vollenhovia emeryi
Lineage: Eukaryota; Metazoa; Arthropoda; Insecta; Hymenoptera; Formicidae
Exons: 3
Source: RefSeq, a predicted model, not a curated record
UACAGGUAAAUAUAUGAGUAUAUGCGUACGCGGGCAUGUAAAAUAGAAGAAUGGAUGUGUACUUAUUAUAUAUUUUAUCAAUUUGGGUGGUAUAGUUUGUAGUUAAGAAGUAAUCAAAAUAAAUAUGUAGGCUAUAAGAAAUAUGAAGAAAAAUAAGGAUAUGUAAUUGUGUAAAAAUAAAAAUAAACUCUACAAAUAAUAUAUUUGUUAUAUAUAGAAUUUUAGUUCUCGUAUUCUUCAAUUGUGGUCAAUGAUGGUACUACACAUCUUGGCUACGAAGUCCGAAGUUAGCUAUUGAUUAUGUUCGUCAAAUUCCCGCGAGUGAGAGAGAAACAUAGUCUAUCUCACUAUUCUACGAUCGUAGAAUCGUAGAAUCAUGGAAGAGUGAGAAAGCCUAUAAUAUGUUUCUCUCUCACACGCUGGAACUUGGCGAGCUCUUGUGGCCAGUCUCUGAUUACAAGGUCUCAACUGUCAACGCUGUUUAGCGCUACAGGCUGUUCGCGGAGCUAGAUGAUAGUGCUAGUAAACGCUAUCAUAACGUCACUAAUGGUAGCGUUAUACGUCAUAACCGCACGCUACAUACAAUAGUAUCAACGCUUUUCCUUCCGAGGUGGGGUCCCGUUUGCCGACAUUCCCGAUUGCCAACAGCUUCGUUUGCCCACAACUUUUUGCGGACAGCUUCAGUUGCUGACAUUUCCGAUUGCCUACAAACCGAUUGCCCACAAGCAGUAUUGUGCACAUGUAAUACAAAAACAAAUUUUCAGAGAUUGUCGAGGGCAUCAUAAGAAUCAUUUUUUUGCAAAUGAACCUAGGAUUGUGAACGUGCUACAGCAUAUGGGGCAACAUGUCUUUAUUGGCUAGAUCAUUUAUAAAAUUUAUAUUUUCUGAGAUAUUUCGAGGUCUCGACCUUUUUCGAAUACUGUAGCGAUGUAAUAAUAUGCGUCAGACCCGAGAUUUAUUCAUCACGUGGGCGCGCGCAUAUAUGUAUGUACAAUAUAUGUAUAUGUAUGACUAACGAAAUAAUUUAAGAAU